Molecule: unclassified non-coding RNA, 355 nt
Filed under: uncultured fungus
Lineage: Eukaryota; Fungi
Description: sequence contains 5.8S rRNA gene, ITS2, 28S rRNA gene
Rfam family: 5.8S ribosomal RNA (bases 1-145)
Source: RNAcentral
CAACGGAUCUCUUGGUUCCGGCAUCGAUGAAGAACGCAGCGAAAUGCGAUAACUAAUGUGAAUUGCAGAAUUCAGUGAAUCAUCGAGUCUUUGAACGCACAUUGCGCCCCCUGGUAUUCCGGGGGGCAUGCCUGUCCGAGCGUCAUUGCUGCCCUCAAGCCCGGCUUGUGUGUUGGGUCUUCGUCCCCCCCACCCGGGGGGACGGGCCCGAAAGGCAGUGGCGGCACCGCGUCCGGUCCUCGAGUGUAUGGGGCUCUGUCACUCACUCCGUAGGCCUGGCCGGUGCCCGCCGACCCCCCGUCUUCCUUUUUUCCAGGUUGACCUCGGAUCAGGUAGGGAUACCCGCUGAACUUAA